AAAGAUUAAGCCAUGCAUGUGUAUGCACAAGCCGAUAUACGGUGAAGCCGCGAAUGGCUCAUUACAACAGCCAUUGUUUACUUGAUCUUGAAAUCCUACAUGGAUAACUGUGGUAAUUCUAGAGCUAAUACACGCAUCAAAGCCCCGUGCCGGAGACGGCCGGGGCGCUUUUAUUAGAACAAAGCCAAUCGGGCUCCGGCCCGACAAAUUGGUGAAUCUGAAUAACCGAGCCGAUCGCGCGGUCUCGAACCGGCGACGAAUCAUUCAAGUGUCUGCCUUAUCAACUUUCGACGGUAGUUUAUGCGCCUACCGUGGUUGUAACGGGUAACGGAGAAUAAGGGUUCGACUCCGGAGAGGGAGCCUGAGAAACGGCUACCACAUCCAAGGAAGGCAGCAGGCGCGCAAAUUACCCACUCUCGGCAAGAGGAGGUAGUGACGAAAAAUAACGAGACGGUUCUCUUUGAGGCCCGUUAUCGGAAUGGGUACAAUAUAAAUCCUUUAACGAGGAUCAACGAGAGGGCAAGUCUGGUGCCAGCAGCCGCGGUAAUUCCAGCUCUCGAAGUGUAUAUCAUUGCUGUUGCGGUUAAAAAGCUCGUAGUUGGAUCUGCGCCCUAGGAACUGGUCCACCCAACGGGUCUGGUACUGGUCUCCAGGGCUGAAUUGGCUGGUCUCCCUUGAUGCCCUUCAUCGGGUGUUUUGGGUGGCUGGCGCGUUUACUUUGAAAAAAUUAGAGUGCUCAGAACAGGCGUAUUCGCUUGAAUAGUGGUGCAUGGAAUAAUGGAAUAGGACCUCGGUUCUAUUUCGUUGGUUUUCGGAAUACGAGGUAAUGAUUAAGAGGGACAGACGGGGGCAUUCGUAUUGCGGCGCUAGAGGUGAAAUUCUUGGACCGCCGCAAGACGGACAACUGCGAAAGCAUUUGCCAAGAAUGUUUUCAUUAAUCAAGAACGAAAGUUAGAGGUUCGAAGGCGAUCAGAUACCGCCCUAGUUCUAACCGUAAACGAUGCGAACCAGCGAUCCGCCGGCGUUAAUCACGACCCGGCGGGCAGCUUCCCGGAAACGAAAGUCUUUCCGUUCCGGGGGAAGUAUGGUUGCAAAGCUGAAACUUAAAGGAAUUGACGGAAGGGCACCACCAGGAGUGGAGCCUGCGGCUUAAUUUGACUCAACACGGGGAAACUCACCCGGCCAGGACACUGUAAGGAUUGACAGAUUGAGAGCUCUUUCUUGAUUCAGUGGGUGGUGGUGCAUGGCCGUUCUUAGUUGGUGGAGCGAUUUGUCUGGUUAAUUCCGAUAACGAACGAGACUCUGGCCUGCUAAAUAGCGAGCGGAUCCUCGGCGUCCGCGGAGCUUCUUAGAGGGACAAGCGGUGUUCAGCCGCAUGAAAAAGAGCAAUAACAGGUCUGUGAUGCCCUUAGAUGUCCGGGGCUGCACGCGCGCUACACUGAAGGAGUCAACGCGCUUUAAAACCUGGCCCGAAAGGGCCGGGUAACCGGAUGAAAAUCUUUCGUGCUUGGGAUAGGGACUUGCAAUUAUUUCCCUUGAACGAGGAAUUCCUAGUAAGUGCGGGUCAUCAGCUCGCGCUGAUUACGUCCCUGCCCUUUGUA
RNAcentral lists this ribosomal RNA (1601 nucleotides) under Isolaimium sp. 2-PM-2004. RNAcentral's name for it is "SSU rRNA". It matches the Rfam family "Eukaryotic small subunit ribosomal RNA", at positions 39 to 1664 of the family's 1831-position model. Lineage: Eukaryota; Metazoa; Nematoda; Enoplea; Isolaimida; Isolaimiidae. The record is from RNAcentral.